AGUACCAGCUAGAGCUUAUGUGGUCAGAAAACGAGAAGAAGGCGAUGCACAUGAUGUUGUUACAGCCAACAAAGAACCUGAAGCAUCAGCAUCGAAAGGAAAGGAGAAAGUCAUCGAGGACUAAAACGGGAGAAUUACGGUGUGUAUUACUAUAAUUUGAAUUUUAAUUAUUAUUGAUUGCUGAAUUUUUUAUUGUUAUGUAUGGUAAGUAAGACUUGAGGUAAGUAUGUGAAAUUGAUAUGAAUAUUGAGUGAAAAUGAAAGUGAUGCAAAUUGAAUCAAAUUGAAUUGAAUAAGUGAAUUAUGGAAUAUGUAAUUAUUUGAAAAGUGUAUUGAUUGAAAAAUGAUUGGUGAUUUGAAUUGUGAAUUGAAAGUGAUAUAGGAUUGAGAAAGUGAAUUGAAUACCCUAUUAA
Gossypium arboreum is the source of this 412-nucleotide long non-coding RNA. RefSeq lists it as uncharacterized. The transcript is spliced from 2 exons. NCBI's taxonomy places the organism in Eukaryota, Viridiplantae, Streptophyta, Magnoliopsida, Malvales, Malvaceae. The record is from RefSeq and is a predicted model, not a curated record.